UAGGGAAUCUUCGGCAAUGGGGGGAACCCUGACCGAGCAACGCCGCGUGAGUGAAGAAGGUUUUCGGAUCGUAAAGCUCUGUUGUUAAGGAAGAACGAGUGUGAGAAUGGAAAGUUCAUACUGUGACGGUACUUAACCAGAAAGGGACGGCUAACUACGUGCCAGCAGCCGCGGUAAUACGUAGGUCCCGAGCGUUGUCCGGAUUUAUUGGGCGUAAAGCGAGCGCAGGCGGUUAGAUAAGUCUGAAGUUAAAGGCAGUGGCUCAACCAUUGUAGGCUUUGGAAACUGUUUAACUUGAGUGCAGAAGGGGAGAGUGGAAUUCCAUGUGUAGCGGUGAAAUGCGUAAAUAUAUGGAGGAACACCGGUGGCGAAAGCGGCUCUCUGGUCUGUAACUAACGCUGAGGCUCGAAAGCGUGGGGAGCGAACAGG
This 429-nucleotide ribosomal RNA is filed under the name Bacteroidota bacterium. RNAcentral's name for it is "Bacteroidetes bacterium partial 16S ribosomal RNA". It matches the Rfam family "Bacterial small subunit ribosomal RNA", at positions 355 to 776 of the family's 1533-position model. Lineage: Bacteria; Pseudomonadati; Bacteroidota. The record is from RNAcentral.